AGUGAACGCUGGCGGUAGGCCUAACACAUGCAAGUCGAACGGCAGCACAGUAAGAGCUUGCUCUUACGGGUGGCGAGUGGCGGACGGGUGAGGAAUACAUAGGAAUCUACUUUUUCGUGGGGGAUAACGUAGGGAAACUUACGCUAAUACAGCAUACGACCUACGGGUGAAAGCAGGGGAUCUUCGGACCUUGCGCGAUUGAAUGAGCCGAUGUCGGAUUAGCUAGUUGGCGGGGUAAAGGCCCACCAAGGCAACGAUCCGUAGCUGGUCUGAGAGGAUGAUCAGCCACACUGGAACUGAGACACGGUCCAGACUCCUACGGGAGGCAGCAGUGGGGAAUAUUGGACAAUGGGCGCAAGCCUGAUCCAGCCAUACCGCGUGGGUGAAGAAGGUCUUCGGGUUGUAAAGCCCUUUUGUUGGGAAAGAAAAGCAGCAGGUUAAUACCCCGCUGUUCUGACGGUACCCAAAGAAUAAGCACCGGCUAACUUCGUG
This 492-nucleotide ribosomal RNA is filed under the name uncultured bacterium. RNAcentral's name for it is "partial 16S ribosomal RNA". It matches the Rfam family "Bacterial small subunit ribosomal RNA", at positions 29 to 507 of the family's 1533-position model. The record is from RNAcentral.